GAAAGAUUCAUCGGAAGAGGAUGGGCAUGCGGCGCAUUAGCUAGACGGCGGGGUAACGGCCCACCGUGGCGACGAUGCGUAGGGGUUCUGAGAGGAAGGUCCCCCACACUGGUACUGAGACACGGACCAGACUCCUACGGGAGGCAGCAGUGAGGAAUAUUGGUCAAUGGGAGAGAUCCUGAACCAGCCAAGCCGCGUGAGGGAAGACGGCCCUAUGGGUUGUAAACCUCUUUUGUCGGAGAACAAAACCCGGGACGUGUCCCGGACUGCGUGUAUCCGAAGAAAAAGCAUCGGCUAACUCCGUGCCAGCAGCCGCGGUAAUACGGAGGAUGCGAGCGUUAUCCGGAUUUAUUGGGUUUAAAGGGUGCGUAGGCGGUCCGUUAAGUCAGCGGUAAAAUUGCGGGGCUCAACCCCGUCGAGCCGUUGAAACUGGCAGACUUGAGUUGGCGAGAAGUACGCGGAAUGCGCGGUGUAGCGGUGAAAUGCAUAGAUAUCGCGCAGAACUCCGAUUGCGAAGGCAGCGUACCGGCGCCACACUGACGCUGAGGCACGAAAGCGUGGGGAUCGAACAGGAUUAGAUACCCUGGUAGUCCACGCAG
This 599-nucleotide ribosomal RNA is filed under the name uncultured bacterium. RNAcentral's name for it is "bacterial SSU rRNA". It matches the Rfam family "Bacterial small subunit ribosomal RNA", at positions 202 to 802 of the family's 1533-position model. The record is from RNAcentral.